UUUCAAGGUCUUGGUUACUGCAAAUACUGCAAUCUGUAGGAUGGCCUUUUGUAAAUUAAAUAAACACAAAGAUCUAAAUAGAUACUGUUAUGUAACAAAAUGUUCAAGUAACAAACACAAACUCUUGCAUUUUUGUCAAUUCAUCUUUAAAAGAUUUUAGCAUUAUUUUGUGUCAAUCUAAGGAACAUCUGCCAAUUACUAUCUAUCUCCUCUUUUGUUUUGACCUUCAGCAACUCAAAUUUCAUCUUAUUUUGAAGUAGAAGAAAGAAUUACAUGACCUCCUGGGUCCUGUCUUCCCAUGCUAUCUUAUAAUCUCAGAUGACUGAUAAAUUUUGUCUUAUAUGUUUUAUCUACAAAAACAGAUUCAACCUCUGGUGGCCACCCUCCCUUCAACACUGGUACCUCUCCCUGCUGGUAUAACCAUACUCUCAGAAGAGUGCAAGAGUUUCCCCACAGAAGAAGACCAAAGACCAAACGAUCCUCAAGGAACUGUUUCAAGAACUUAAAUAAUGGAAGUGGAUUUGAUUGGUGCAAAAGAUGAAUUGUAGUGCACUACCAAGAAUCUACUUUCAAGAUGAACAUACCAAUUCCCCUAGUUGCCGAGAUUGUUGGUGACUGGUGGGUUUUAGCAGAAUCCCUCUCAGGGAAUUGAGACCUUGGCCAAGGUCAUGCCCUCUCUCUGAGAGACUCCUGCAUUCAAUGACUGGUUGCUGUGGGAGUACAAAGUUCAGACCCCUGGCCUCAAGGUGAUCUGAUCCAACUCUGAAGGGCCACCCCAGCUCUGAGGCUCCACAGAAUUAGCUGAAGCCCUUGUACAACUAUCUUGCUACUCCUCCCUUUGCUCAAUCCUAUUUCCUUCUCCCCACAUAGGUACUGAUCCUAAGGGUAUUCCCUGAUAAAUUUCCUGCACAUAAAUCUCAAUCUCAGAGUUUCUUUUGUGGGGGCAUCUGCCUUAAGACAAACUGGUAAGGCUGUACUAGUAUCAGCUGAUUAUUAGAUGUGGAUAUGGCAUAAAGACAUUAACUCCUAGAGCUGUAAGAGGCCAGAAAGAGCAUUCCUUUUCAAUGGGAAGCACUUUCCUUUUCCUAAAAAGGAAUUCAGAAAAGUUGUGGGAGGGUAGGAAGACAACUAAAAAACAUUCAAAAUAGUUUCUGAGUCCCUUGGAAAAAUAUCUUUAUAAUUUAGGAUACUUACUUUGAUAAACAGAAUAGUGUCAUUGAGAAAAUUGAUAGUGAUUUUGGAGUCAGUUGUUUGUCAGU
Panthera uncia (snow leopard) is the source of this 1259-nucleotide long non-coding RNA. RefSeq lists it as uncharacterized. Lineage: Eukaryota; Metazoa; Chordata; Mammalia; Carnivora; Felidae. The record is from RefSeq and is a predicted model, not a curated record. The transcript has 3 exons.